CAGUAGCCGCGGGAAUACGUAGGUGGCAAGCGUUGUCCGGAAUUAUUGGGCGUAAAGGGCUCGCAGGCGGUUUCUUAAGUCUGAUGUGAAAGCCCCCGGCUCAACCGGGGAGGGUCAUUGGAAACUGGGAAACUUGAGUGCAGAAGAGGAGAGUGGAAUUCCACGUGUAGCGGUGAAAUGCGUAGAGAUGUGGAGGAACACCAGUGGCGAAGGCGACUCUCUGGUCUGUAACUGACGCUGAGGAGCGAAAGCGUGGGGGGCGAACAGGAUUAGAGACCCCUGUAGUCCCUGUCUCUUAUAC
This 301-nucleotide ribosomal RNA is filed under the name uncultured bacterium. Its description in RNAcentral is "partial 16S ribosomal RNA". It matches the Rfam family "Bacterial small subunit ribosomal RNA", at positions 509 to 807 of the family's 1533-position model. The record is from RNAcentral.